This 253-nucleotide ribosomal RNA is filed under the name uncultured bacterium. RNAcentral's name for it is "partial 16S ribosomal RNA". It matches the Rfam family "Bacterial small subunit ribosomal RNA", at positions 524 to 776 of the family's 1533-position model. The record is from RNAcentral.
UACGUAGGGUGCGAGCGUUGUCCGGAAUUAUUGGGCGUAAAGAGCUUGUAGGCGGUCUGUCGCGUCUGCUGUGAAAUUCCGGGGCUCAACCCCGGACUUGCAGUGGGUACGGGCAGACUAGAGUGUGGUAGGGGAGACUGGAAUUCCUGGUGUAGCGGUGAAAUGCGCAGAUAUCAGGAGGAACACCGAUGGCGAAGGCAGGUCUCUGGGCCACUACUGACGCUGAGAAGCGAAAGCAUGGGGAGCGAACAGG